GAAUACCUCUGGGGAUUGGUGAAAUUCCAUACCGGCGGUCAAGCCCGCGAGCCACUAUGGCAGAUCUGGUGUAAUUCCAGAGCCGACAGUAAAGUCUGGAUGAGAAGAGGAAAUU
Molecule: regulatory RNA element, 115 nt
Organism: Desulfitobacterium hafniense Y51
Lineage: Bacteria; Bacillati; Bacillota; Clostridia; Eubacteriales; Desulfitobacteriaceae
Rfam family: FMN riboswitch aptamer (RFN element)
About the family: The RFN element is a highly conserved domain that is found frequently in the 5'-untranslated regions of prokaryotic mRNAs that encode for flavin mononucleotide (FMN) biosynthesis and transport proteins.
Source: Rfam